AGAUAAUAAUAUAUUCUCUAUCCCCAUAUUAUUAUUACCACUCUCAUAAUGUAUUUUUUUGCUUUCAAGAACUCGGUGCUUCAAAUUAUGUUACUGUUUCUACGUAACUGAGAGGUGCAGAAGCUUCUGUUCUGAAAACUAGUGCUGUAAUCAUACCGUUAUUUUUUCACUGUACCUUUCUACUUAUAGUAAUGGAUGGUUUAGGGUUGCAUUGGAUAUGGAGAGAGUAG
Non-coding RNA from Lupinus albus (white lupine), 230 nucleotides. The record is from the annotation of a GenBank genome assembly. NCBI's taxonomy places the organism in Eukaryota, Viridiplantae, Streptophyta, Magnoliopsida, Fabales, Fabaceae.